CAGCCGCCACGGGAAUACAGAGGGUGCGAGCGUUAAUCGGAUUUACUGGGCGUAAAGCGUGCGUAGGCGGCUUUUUAAGUCGGAUGUGAAAUCCCUGAGCUUAACUUAGGAAUUGCAUUCGAUACUGGGAAGCUAGAGUAUGGGAGAGGAUGGUAGAAUUCCAGGUGUAGCGGUGAAAUGCGUAGAGAUCUGGAGGAAUACCGAUGGCGAAGGCAGCCAUCUGGCCUAAUACUGACGCUGAGGUACGAAAGCAUGGGGAGCAAACAGGAUUAGAUACCCCCGUAGUCCCUGUCCUUAUACA
Molecule: ribosomal RNA, 301 nt
Filed under: uncultured bacterium
Lineage: Bacteria
Description: partial 16S ribosomal RNA
Rfam family: Bacterial small subunit ribosomal RNA
Source: RNAcentral